This 986-nucleotide ribosomal RNA is filed under the name uncultured Acidobacteriota bacterium. Its description in RNAcentral is "bacterial SSU rRNA". It matches the Rfam family "Bacterial small subunit ribosomal RNA", at positions 8 to 973 of the family's 1533-position model. The record is from RNAcentral. Lineage: Bacteria; Pseudomonadati; Acidobacteriota.
AGAGUUUGAUCAUGGCUCAGAAUGAACGCUGGCGGCGUGCCUAACACAUGCAAGUCGUACGAGAAAGGUCCCUUCGGGGGCUGAGUACAGUGGCGAACGGGUGAGUAACGCGUGGGUAACCUACCCUUCAGUGUGGAAUAACUCGGGGAAACCUGGGCUAAUACCGCAUGACAUCCCCGGGACUUCGGUCCUGGGGAUCAAAGGUGGCGAAGUUCGACUGCUACCGCUGGAGGAGGGGCCCGCGUCCCAUUAGCUUGUUGGUGGGGUAACGGCCCACCAAGGCUCCGAUGGGUAGCCGGCCUGAGAGGGUGAUCGGCCACACUGGAACUGAGACACGGUCCAGACUCCUACGGGAGGCAGCAGUGGGGAAUAUUGGGCAAUGGGCGCAAGCCUGACCCAGCGACGCCGCGUGGGUGAUGAAGGCCCUUGGGUCGUAAAACCCUGUCAUGAGGGACGAAAGACGGGCUCUAACAUAGCCUCGGUUUGACGGUACCUCAGGAGGAGGCCCCGGCUAACUCCGUGCCAGCAGCCGCGGUAAUACGGAGGGGGCGAGCGUUAUUCGGAAUCAUUGGGCGUAAAGGGCAGGUAGGCGGCUUUAUGUGUCCUCUGUGAAAGCCCUCGGCUCAACCGAGGAAUUGCAGGGGAAACUGCAAAGCUUGAGUCCGGGAGAGGGUAGCGGAAUUCCCAGUGUAGCGGUGAAAUGCGUAAAUAUUGGGAGGAACACCUGUGCCGAAGGCGGCUUCCUGGACCGUGACUGAACCUUAAGCUCGAAAGCCAGGGGAGCCAACGGGAUUAGAUACCCGGGUAGUCCUCGCUGUAAACGUUGUAUACCAGGUUGGUUGGCGCGCACCCACCGUGCCGAACCUAACGCAUUAAGUCCACCGCCUGGGGACUACGGUCGCAAGGGUAAAACUCAAAGGAAUUGACGGGGCCCCGCACAAGCGGUGGAGCAUGUGGUUUAAUUCGAUGAUACGCGAAAAACCUUA